UACGGGGGGGGCAAGCGUUGUUCGGAAUUACUGGGCGUAAAGGGCUCGUAGGUGGCCAACUAAGUCAGACGUGAAAUCCCUCGGCUUAACCGGGGAACUGCGUCUGAUACUGGAUGGCUUGAGUUCGGGAGAGGGAUGCGGAAUUCCAGGUGUAGCGGUGAAAUGCGUAGAGACUCGGAAGAACACCAGUGGCGAAGGCGGCUACCUGGACGGGUACUGACGCUGCAGCGCGAAAGCUAGGGGAGCAAACAGG
Molecule: ribosomal RNA, 253 nt
Filed under: uncultured bacterium
Lineage: Bacteria
Description: partial 16S ribosomal RNA
Rfam family: Bacterial small subunit ribosomal RNA
Source: RNAcentral